AUUGAACGCUGGCGGAAUGCUUUACACAUGCAAGUCGAACGGCAGCACGGGGCAACCUGGUGGCGAGUGGCGAACGGGUGAGUAAUACAUCGGAACGUGCCCAAUCGUGGGGGAUAACGUAGCGAAAGUUACGCUAAUACCGCAUACGAUCUACGGAUGAAAGCGGGGGAUCGCAAGACCUCGCGCGAAUGGAGCGGCCGAUGUCAGAUUAGGUAGUUGGUGGGGUAAAGGCUCACCAAGCCGACGAUCUGUAGCUGGUCUGAGAGGACGACCAGCCACACUGGGACUGAGACACGGCCCAGACUCCUACGGGAGGCAGCAGUGGGGAAUUUUGGACAAUGGGCGCAAGCCUGAUCCAGCCAUUCCGCGUGCAGGAUGAAGGCCUUCGGUUGUAACUAGCUUUGUACGGUACGAACGGUUACGUCUCUAAUACAGGGGCGUAAUGACGGUACCGUAAGAAUAAGACACCGGCGUAACUACGUAGCCAGCAGCCGCGGUAAGAGUAGUA
Molecule: ribosomal RNA, 508 nt
Filed under: uncultured bacterium
Lineage: Bacteria
Description: bacterial SSU rRNA
Rfam family: Bacterial small subunit ribosomal RNA
Source: RNAcentral